AUUGAACGCUGGCGGCAUGCUUUACACAUGCAAGUCGAACGGUAACAGGCCGCAAGGUGCUGACGAGUGGCGAACGGGUGAGUAAUGCAUCGGAACGUGCCCAGUCGUGGGGGAUAACUACUCGAAAGAGUAGCUAAUAACGCAUACGAUCUAUGGAUGAAAGCGGGGGACCGUAAGGCCUCGCGCGAUUGGAGCGGCCGAUGUCAGAGUAGGUAGUUGGUGGGGUAAAGGCUCACCAAGCCAACGAUCGGUAGCUGGUCUGAGAGGACGACCAGCCACACUGGGACUGAGACACGGCCCAGACUCCUCCGGGAGGCAGCAGUGGGGAAUUUUGGACAAUGGGCGCAAGCCUGAUCCAGCAAUGCCGCGUGCAGGAAGAAGGCCUUCGGGUUGUAAACUGCUUUUGUACGGAACGAAACGGCUCUGGUUAAUACCCGGGGCUAAUGACGGUACCGUAAGAAUAAGCACCGGCUAACUACGUG
RNAcentral lists this ribosomal RNA (482 nucleotides) under uncultured bacterium. RNAcentral's name for it is "partial 16S ribosomal RNA". It matches the Rfam family "Bacterial small subunit ribosomal RNA", at positions 30 to 507 of the family's 1533-position model. The record is from RNAcentral.